GACGAACGCUGGCGGCGUGCUUAACACAUGCAAGUCGAACGAUGAAGUUCCUUCGGGAAUGGAUUAGUGGCGAACGGGUGAGGAACACGUGAGAAACCUGCCUUUCAUUUUGGGAUAACUCCGGGAAACCGGGGCUAAAACCGAAUACUCCGUCUCGGCGGCCUCGCCGAGCCGGGAAAAAACGUUGAUGAAAGAUGGUCUCGCGGCCUAUCAGCUAGUUGGUGAGGUAAUGGCUCACCAAGGCAACGACGGGUAGCCGGCCUGAGAGGGCGACCGGCCACACUGGGACUGAGACACGGCCCAGACUCCUACGGGAGGCAGCAGGGGGGAAUAUUGGGCAAUGGGCGCAAGCCUGACCCAGCGACGCCGCGUGAGGGAUGAAGGCCUUCGGGUUGUAAACCUCUUUCAGUAGGGAAGAAGCGAAAGUGACGGUACCUAAAGAAGAAGCACCGGCUAACUAUGUGCCAGCCGCCGCCGUAA
RNAcentral lists this ribosomal RNA (480 nucleotides) under uncultured bacterium. RNAcentral's name for it is "partial 16S ribosomal RNA". It matches the Rfam family "Bacterial small subunit ribosomal RNA", at positions 28 to 523 of the family's 1533-position model. The record is from RNAcentral.